This 1066-nucleotide long non-coding RNA is filed under the name Volvox carteri. RNAcentral's name for it is "long non-coding RNA (VCAR_LNC002186)". The record is from RNAcentral. Lineage: Eukaryota; Viridiplantae; Chlorophyta; Chlorophyceae; Chlamydomonadales; Volvocaceae.
UCCAGUGCCCCUCCGUCAACAUCAGCCAUGGAUACACGUUGAUCCCGUGUCUAACAUGCAGCUAUGUGAAAGACACGAAGAGUUACAAUACGUGAACAUACGUACAUACAUACAGGCAGGCGGCUGGCAGAGGUUAAGGCCUGACUUCUGCUCCCAGUCGACCCAGUCGACCCGGGUUCAAAUCCGCCUGCCGGCUCCUCGGGUGUUUGAGGAGUGAUGAAAUGGGAGGUGGCCCCCCAUCUUAUGGACGGUGUAGGACGUGAUAAUAUCAACUUGCGAGCUGACCAGGAACUAAGUUGAUGCGCCGUUGAUCCGCUAGAUUUGGUUGGAUGCUGGUGGUGAGUUGCCGAACCCAACGAAUACAUUCUGAAGUCGGAUGGGGUGACGGAUUAGGGUGCCCCUCUAGCAGGGGAGAGCAGGGACUGCCCCGGGAAAGGGGGCCGCUGGCGAAGUUAACCACCCUGUAACAACAUACAUACAUAUGUAACAUACGUACAUCUAAUAUAUAUAAUAUGCGCUGUGUUUCGGCUUCGUCCCCCGGCUCUCGCGGCCCACAGUGUAAUCUAAGUCAUAUGUACAUACACACGCACACUCACAUCGAGUGCGGCUCUCAGCUCCCCCUCCAGGCGACCGAUCGACAGACGACUGUACAAUCCCUCUCCGGCCUUUGAGCGAUUGGAGUAGAUGUUGUCCAUCACCUGAAAACCGGGGAGGAAGGGGACACACACAUACAUACAUGCAUACAUGCAUACAUACAUACAUACAUACAUACAUACAUACAGGCAGGCAGGCGGCUGGCAGAGGUUAAGGCCUGACUUCUGCUCCCAGUUGACCCAGUCGACCCGGGUUCAAAUCCGCCUGCCGGCUCCUCGGGUGUUUGAGGAGUGAUGAAAUGGGAGGUGGCCCCCCAUCUUAUGGACGGUGUAGGACGUGAUAAUAUCAACUUGCGAGCUGACCAGGAACUAAGUUGAUGCGCCGUUGAUCCGCUAGAUUUGGUUGGAUGCUGGUGGUGAGUUGCCGAACCCAACGAAUACAUUCUGAAGUCGGAUGGGGUGACGGAUUAGGG